AAGAUUCUGGGUCCUUCGCUCUAUUGAAAUCUAUCACGAAGAUCUUUCUAGAUUUCUAAUGCUGAGUAAGAGAAAAUUACACAUGCAAAGAUUUUGUUUUGACACUAAAUUUAACAACAAAGAAGCAAAAAUAUUAUUGUUUCUCGUCCACGCAAUCAAGAGAUACGCUUCCUUGUUGCUUUGCCUCGAAUCGAUCCAUCAAUAAUUCUAAGCGAGCACGAUUGUCAUAUCAGGACUCUAUGAUACAAUAUUGUCUC
This 257-nucleotide long non-coding RNA is filed under the name Carica papaya (papaya). Its description in RNAcentral is "long non-coding RNA (CPAP_LNC001536)". Lineage: Eukaryota; Viridiplantae; Streptophyta; Magnoliopsida; Brassicales; Caricaceae. The record is from RNAcentral.